RNAcentral lists this ribosomal RNA (331 nucleotides) under uncultured soil bacterium. Its description in RNAcentral is "bacterial SSU rRNA". It matches the Rfam family "Bacterial small subunit ribosomal RNA", at positions 26 to 361 of the family's 1533-position model. The record is from RNAcentral.
AGGAUGAACGCUGGCGGCGUGCCUAAUACAUGCAAGUCGAGCGGUAAGGCCCCUUCGGGGGUACACGAGCGGCGGACGGCUGAGUAACACGUAGGAACGUACCCCAAAGUGAGGGAUAAGCACCAGAAAUGGUGUCUAAUACCGCAUGUGGCCCUUCGGGCUAAAGCUUUAUGCGCUUUGGGAGCGGCCUGCGCAUGAUUAGCUUGUUGGUGAGGUAAUAGCUCACCAAGGCGAUGAUCAUUAGCGUGGUCUGGAGAGGAUGAUCGAGCCAGACGUGGGACUGAGACCGACCGGCCCAGACCUACCGUACGGGAGGCAGCGAGGUAGGUAA